Molecule: ribosomal RNA, 560 nt
Filed under: uncultured bacterium
Lineage: Bacteria
Description: bacterial SSU rRNA
Rfam family: Bacterial small subunit ribosomal RNA
Source: RNAcentral
CCUCGGGAAGGCAGCAGUGGGGAAUCUUAGACAAUGGGGGCAACCCUGAUCUAGCCAUGCCGCGUGAGUGAUGAAGGCCUUAGGGUCGUAAAGCUCUUUCGCCUGUGAUGAUAAUGACAGUAGCAGGUAAAGAAACCCCGGCUAACUCCGUGCCAGCAGCCGCGGUAAUACGGAGGGGGUUAGCGUUGUUCGGAAUUACUGGGCGUAAAGCGCGCGUAGGCGGAUUAGAAAGUUGGGGGUGAAAUCCCGGGGCUCAACCCCAGAACUGCCUCCAAAACUGCUAGUCUAGAGUUCGAGAGAGGUGAGUGGAAUUCCGAGUGUAGAGGUGAAAUUCGUAGAUAUUCGGAGGAACACCAGUGGCGAAGGCGGCUCACUGGCUCGAUACUGACGCUGAGGUGCGAAAGUGUGGGGAGCAAACAGGAUUAGAUACCCUGGUAGUCCACACCGUAAACGAUGAAUGCCAGUCGUCGGAUAGUAUACUAUUCGGUGACACACCUAACGGAUUAAGCAUUCCGCCUGGGGAGUACGGUCGCAAGAUUAAAACUCAAAGGAAUUGACGG